This 300-nucleotide long non-coding RNA is filed under the name Androctonus crassicauda. The record is from RNAcentral. Lineage: Eukaryota; Metazoa; Arthropoda; Arachnida; Scorpiones; Buthidae.
UUUUGUAUGUAAGGUGCAUGGAUGAUAUAUUGAUAUGUUGGAGGAGUGGCCAAGGAGUGGAGGAGCUUUCUGGGGAGUUCGCAUUGGAGCGUUGUGGCCUUGAAUUGAAGAGGGACCAACUUAGUAAUGAAUCCAUGCAUUUUCUGGAUCUGCAGGUGUGUGUGGGGGAGGGGAGGAUUGUGCUGAGUGUCUGUCGAAGGCCAACAUGUGGAGUGGUCCUAAUACCAGAUUGGUCCGGUGACCCGAAAGGAUAUAGGGGGGCAGCAUUUGGGAGUUUUUGCGGGAGAGCAUUGAUGUGCU